RNAcentral lists this ribosomal RNA (459 nucleotides) under uncultured bacterium. Its description in RNAcentral is "partial 16S ribosomal RNA". It matches the Rfam family "Bacterial small subunit ribosomal RNA", at positions 338 to 795 of the family's 1533-position model. The record is from RNAcentral.
CCUACGGGCGGCAGCAGUGAGGAAUAUUGGUCAAUGGCCGCAGGGCUGAACCAGCCAAGUCGCGUGAGGGAUGACGGUCCUAUGGAUUGUAAACCUCUUUUGUCAGGGAGCAAAGGGCGCCACGUGUGGCGUUUUGCGAGUACCUGAAGAAAAAGCAUCGGCUAACUCCGUGCCAGCAGCCGCGGUAAAACGGAGGAUGCGAGCGUUAUCCGGAUUUAUUGGGGUUACAGGGUGCGCAGGCGGAAUGUCAAGUCAACGGGAAAAUUUCGGGGCACAACCCCGUCGUGCCUUUGAAACUGGCGUUCUUGAGUGAGCGAGAAGGAUGCGGAAUGCGUGGUGUAGCGGUGAAAUGCGUAGAGAUCACGCAGAACACCGAUGGCGAAGGCAGCAUACCGGCGCACAACUGACGCUCAUGCGCGAAAGCGUGGGUAUCGAACAGGAUUAGAUACCCGGGUAGUC